GGCCGAGCGGUUGAAGGCACCGGUCUUGAAAACCGGCGACCCGAAAGGGUUCCAGAGUUCGAAUCUCUGCGCUUCCGCCAAACAAUCA
Molecule: transfer RNA, 88 nt
Filed under: Escherichia coli
Lineage: Bacteria; Pseudomonadati; Pseudomonadota; Gammaproteobacteria; Enterobacterales; Enterobacteriaceae
Description: tRNA-Ser
Rfam family: tRNA (bases 1-77)
About the family: Transfer RNA (tRNA) molecules are approximately 80 nucleotides in length.
Source: RNAcentral